RNAcentral lists this unclassified non-coding RNA (223 nucleotides) under uncultured Gammaproteobacteria bacterium. RNAcentral describes it as "contains 16S-23S intergenic spacer region". The record is from RNAcentral. Lineage: Bacteria; Pseudomonadati; Pseudomonadota; Gammaproteobacteria.
UCCGGUUUGUCACCGGCAGUCCCAUUAGAGUGCCCAACUGAAUGUAGCAACUAAUGGCAAGGGUUGCGCUCGUUGCGGGACUUAACCCAACAUCUCACGACACGAGCUGACGACAGCCAUGCAGCACCUGUGUCCAGGUUCCCUUUCGGGCACACCCCCAUCUCUGGAGGCUUCCUGGCAUGUCAAGGGUAGGUAAGGUGGGGAUGACGUUGUACACCUGAAC